Molecule: long non-coding RNA, 403 nt
Organism: Quercus lobata
Lineage: Eukaryota; Viridiplantae; Streptophyta; Magnoliopsida; Fagales; Fagaceae
Exons: 3
Source: RefSeq, a predicted model, not a curated record
AGGCUCAUUAUCCUUCAUGAUUGCCCUUAUUUUAACUAUUCAGAUGAACUUUCGAUUCCAGUUUAAGUUCAAAAUCAUCUAAAAUGGGCAAUAGGGACAGCAUAUCUAUUGUGUUCAGCUGGAGGAAAAAAUAAUUUAUGGUGUUUAAUCAACUCCCCAGCCGGAAGAAGAGCUGUACAUUAGUCAUUGCCCCAAAUUAAAAGAAAGAAGUGCAAAGGCAAGUGCUGCAAAGUGGUCCAGGAUUGCCCACAUUCCAAAUAUUUACAUUAGUGAUGCAUUAAACAAAAAGCAGUUUGAAGAUCAUAUACAUUUCUAGGAUAGAUGACCAACACUACGGACUUCUAUCUAAUGUGUUCUGCCAGAAGUUUUAAUCUAGUCCCAAGCUAAUGGAAGUUUAUAAGUA